UCAAUUCCAAAAGCCAAAAGGUCAGUUAGCUCUCUAAAUCCAUGGAAAUAAACCGUUAAUUGUGGCAUGUUGUGGCUGAAAAUUUUGCAUCUGACCUGUCCCUUGUUCCUCUCGAAAUGUGAAAUCUUCUAAUUUUGAUUUUUGAGACAAAUUUGAAUUGAGUUCUUCUGAUUCGAUGUGUCGAUCUCUUGUUAUACAAUUCGUACGUGUGAUAGAAUGCUGUGCUUCACUUCCUUUGCGUAUAAUUGCAAAUUUUUUGAGUUCUGUUUCUCAUGGAAUUUAGGUUUGUUUCCAAAGAGCAUAACUUAUUAAUUUGUACAGGAGCUUCUGAAAUAAUAAAGCUUCUUGCUUCACUCCCGAACCGAAUUUGGAGUUCAUUCUCUGACCAGUUUUUUUUUUUUUUAAUGGUUAAUUAGUUUUUUAUUGAGGCUUGGUUUGUUUGUGCAUGCCAUUUGUUUGCUUUCGUGCCCUCAUUUCAUUUGAGUUCAAAUGUUCUCCUUAUUCAUUUUGCGUGUCUCCAUUUUGUUUCCUGUUUACAAAGGAGAUGAAGAGUUAAGUUUGAAUUUACAAUUAGCUGCUGGUGAUCUAAUUUUCACUCUGUAAACAUCCAUGAACAAUGAACCUUAGGAGUUUUAAUGGAUUUAAUGAGGAUCUGUUGGCAUCAUUAUUGUCAAAAUCUGUCGUAUGGAAGCUUUUGCUCAGUUCUGUCUAGUAUAGUAAAUCAUGGAACUUCCCCUAAGAAGGCAAUUCACCAAGUUGACUUUCAGAUUUUUAAGUUGAAUAUUCUUACUGCAUUUUAUUUGGCUGCGUGCAUUAGGAUCGUUUACUUAAAACUUUUUGUUGUAGAGGUAGACAGAAUAUUGGCUUGGUGUGUGAUGAGGUGGUGAUGCAAAGACUUUAAAUCGAAAGAAAUGUCCGUCACUUUGCAAGANNNNNUUAAUUAAUUAANNNNNUGUGGACUAUUGGGUGACAAACUGCCUAAAGAAGAAAGCUUUCAACGCCCUGUUCAACGAGCUCGAAGAGAAACAACUAAAGGUGCUACCAGCACAGCCGCCAACAUAAGUUGCCUCUGAAAUUUUAAGAGCUUAUUGGUCCUAAAAAAAUUAUAUUUAGAUAUUUCUAUCAAAUGACAAAAAUUCGGUAUGUAGACAGUGUGCCUGAGAUAUAUAAUUUUUAAAUGAAAAUUGCUAAAGGGACUAAAGGCUGAUAAAAUGUUAAUAAAUAAUGCCUUGUAGUGUUAUAGUGUACGUUAAUUGAUGAUGUUAUAUAAUUUAUUUUAUUAGUGCUUUGUCACUUUUUUAAUCCAAAUAUCUAAAUGAAAAAUGCUGAAACGAUUUCCUACAAAGUACUACAAAGAUGACAAUGAGAUAGGAAAUUGAAACAACAUUUAUUUAUAAAAAUAAAAAAUUUGCAAACAAAAGGAUCUCACUAUGUAACCAUAUAUAUCAUUUUAUUGAAUUAUUAUUAGCCGGAGCAUCAUCAUGUUUUUCUUUUAUUCAAGGCUUAGUUAUAUAUAAUUAAUUAAGCAAUGGGAUCAACAAUUAAAGAUAAAACACGAGCUUUAGUAAUUUCUUGAACACCGUGUCCGUGACCUUCUCCAAAUUGGUACAUGCAUUGAGACAUCCUCGCCAAAUUCAUUGCAAUCCCAACAAAAACGUCGGACACGAAAUGUGGGUUUCCAAAUCGAUCACGGUUCAUCUUCAUCCAUGUCUGAGCAAUCAAAUCAUGUAUAUGUUCACGAGCCUCUCUCUCUGAGACUCCAGCUUCAUGCAUGUAACAUUGAAUUGAUUUAUGAACAUCUCCCCUCUUCAGCUCAUCCUAAUAAUUAAUUCAAUCAAACUUAUUGUCAACAACAUUAACAAUUAACUAAUUAUCUAAUAAUCAGAUUGUGAGUACUACAAUUUGUUAUGGAGAAUAUCCUAUACUGCUGAGAAUAAUUCCUCAACUAAUAAUAAGAAUAUAUUAUGUUGUGAGUGGAUAUGAGAUAUCUUCCAUAACAAAUUUAAUAUUAAAAAUGAAUUAAUUGUACCGAUGAUUUUCCCAAAUCGUCUGCAAGUCGUAGAAUUAUUGAUGACCAACGAAUUAUGUUGGGAUAAUCUUUCACGAAUUCCAAGCCCUCCGUUGUUAUUGGAUUUGCUGUAGAAGUGUAUGCAUGGACUAGAAUUACAGGUGCUGCUACCGAAAUCCAAGCAUUUUCCAUGUACUCUUGGAGUGUUGGUAUGUAGCCGUUGUCGUACCACUUGGCCUCCACUAAAUAUGUUUUGCAUAGAUUUGCCCACUGAAAGUUUUAUUUUUGUAUAUCGAAUUGAUUAAUAUAAUAUCAAAUACAAAAGCAUAAAUUAAAUUAAUUAAAGGGAAAUAAUUUCCAAGCACCUCAAGAAUAUUAUAAAUAUAAUUAGUCACCAUAAAUUUCUAAUAAUAUCUUGGCGCUAACUCAAAUUUUAGUUUUAUAUCAACCAGACAUUUUUUUAUUAACUCUAUUAGCUAUCAUUAAAUAAUUUAAGGUAAAAGACCNNNNNUUAAUUAAUUAANNNNNAUGAAAAGUGAGAAUACAUAAUUUUAAUUAUUUACCGAGAUUGUCACUUUCCCUCUAGUAGAAAUCAACGUUUAUUACCUCGUCCUAAUGUUUUCAUAAUGUCAUGUCCCAUCUAGAUAUAAAAAGUUAACAGAAUACUAAUUUUUUUUUCUUUCUUUGGAUGCACGGCCAUGGGAUUGCAAAGUCGAAGGGCAAGAAGAGUUUCAGAGACUAAUGGAUACCAAAACAUGCAGGCCAACAAGCUUGCUGUGGAGCCAAAGAAAGAUACCAAGGUUGGAGUGAACAGGAAGCCUGGUAAGAGGAUGGUUGAGAUCGAACCGAAGCUCAAUAUUGAAAUCAAGCUCUUGAAACUCGCAAAUAAGCUUGUUGAGCGCGAUUGCAACAAUACAGAGAUAGGUGAGACGCUCAAGUAGACUAGGAAGAAGUUAGAAGCCGAUUCGCUCACCCUCUUGCCAAACAACUCACGGAUUACCACCAUAUUUAUUUAGGCCUUUGUUUUGCUGUUUCAUAACUUUGAUUUCUUUUAUAUAUAAAAACUAAACUCCAGUUAUCCUUGCAUGAGAAUCACUUAUAUCAUCCACAAAAUGUCUCUUCAAAAAAAAAAAAAUCGACUAACUAGAUACCGUACUAACAGAGUGUAUGUGACAAGGAGAAGAAAGAAGAAACCAGCUUUGCCCUAUUGGAAAAUAAUCCGGCUCAAAAGAUUUUUUAUUUUUUUAUUUUUUUUUAAUAGCCUUGUUUUAUUAUGGUGGGCACUCUCAGGGUUGUCACUUUAAAUUACAGCAACUUAAAUAUAAACACUUGUUACUAUGUAUAAAAACUAAAUUAAAAAAACCUAUAUCUUCGCCAUUUUUUUUGUCAAAACUACUACUUAGAAAUUAUAUUUACCACAUUUUUAAUUUUAAUUUUUCUUCAUAGCUAUAUGCUUUUGUUUUUUCUUUUUCUUCUUUUUCCCUCACAUAAACUAUAACUGUUAACCACCUCACUCAAUACCAAACGAGGUCUUAAUAAUCUUGGUGAUGUUUUAAUCGGUAGAGAAAAGGAUAAGCCUUGUUUCCAAAUCCAAAUUUGUUCACCCAUUUAAAUUUAACAUCAGCAGGAAAUGUAGCAUAACAUGCAUUGUAGGGCUAAGAGUCAUGCUGGCACUCCCAAGGUGUAAAAUGAAUCUGCUCUAAAACUGAAACAUAGCAACCAGAAUUAACAUGCUGUACCAUCUGAAAGUAAAGCCACCUAAGUCGACCUACAACCAUCACUGAACUAGUUUGUUUGCAGCAUAUGUGGAUGUGCACAAACUGAAAACCGCAGUAAGAAGCUUUAUCAUUUGCAGGAACUUAAUAAGCUCAGAUUCUCAACAUUAAAAUGCACCUCAAGCUUUCUUCGAAAAGGCAAUUACAUUGAAGUUCAGUGAUUCAGGAUUUUUCUGGAUCAUGCCUUUUAUCACUUUAGCUGCAUCC
RNAcentral lists this long non-coding RNA (3990 nucleotides) under Citrus maxima (pomelo). RNAcentral describes it as "long non-coding RNA (CMAX_LNC004437)". The record is from RNAcentral. Lineage: Eukaryota; Viridiplantae; Streptophyta; Magnoliopsida; Sapindales; Rutaceae.